Molecule: ribosomal RNA, 442 nt
Filed under: uncultured bacterium
Lineage: Bacteria
Description: partial 16S ribosomal RNA
Rfam family: Bacterial small subunit ribosomal RNA
Source: RNAcentral
CCUACGGGUGGCAGCAGUGGGGAAUAUUGGGCAAUGGGCGCAAGCCUGACCCAGCAACGCCGCGUGAAGGCAGAAGGCUUUCGGGUUGUAAACUUCUUUUAUGGGGGACGAACAAACGACGGUACCCCUUGAAUAAGCCACGGCUAACUACGUGCCAGCAGCCGCGGUAAUACGUAGGUGGCAAGCGGUAUCCGGAUUUAUUGGGUGUAAAGGGCGUGUAGGCGGGAGCGCAAGUCAGAUGUGAAAACUCAGGGCUCAACCCUGAGCCUGCAUUUGAAACUGUGUGUCUUGAGUGCUGGAGAGGCAAGCGGAAGUCCGGGUGUAGCGGGGAAAUGCGUAGAUAUACGGAGGAACACCAGUGGCGAAGGCGGAUUGCUGGACAGUAACUGACGCUGAGGCGCGAAAGCGUGGGGAGCAAACAGGAUUAGAUACCCUAGUAGUC